This 424-nucleotide ribosomal RNA is filed under the name uncultured bacterium. RNAcentral's name for it is "bacterial SSU rRNA". It matches the Rfam family "Bacterial small subunit ribosomal RNA", at positions 355 to 796 of the family's 1533-position model. The record is from RNAcentral.
UGGGGAAUCUUGCACAAUGGGGGAAACCCUGAUGCAGCGACGCCGCGUGAGCGAUGAAGCCCUUCGGGGCGUAAAGCUCUUUCGGCAGGAACGAUAAUGACGGUACCUGAAGAAGAAGCUGCGGCUAACUACGUGCCAGCAGCCGCGGUAAUACGUAGGCAGCGAGCGUUGUUCGGAGUUACUGGGCGUAAAGAGUGCGUAGGCGGUCCUCUAAGUUUGGUGUGAAAUCUCCCGGCUUAACCGGGAGGGUGCGCCGAAAACUGGAGGGCUUGAGUAUGGGAGAGGUAAGCGGAAUUCCUGGUGUAGCGGUGAAAUGCGUAGAUAUCAGGAGGAACACCUGCGGUGUAGACGGCUUACUGGACCAUCACUGACGCUGAGGCACGAAAGCGUGGGUAGCAAACAGGAUUAGAUACCCGUGUAGUCC